ACGAACUUGCAGGAGCCCAGGACCUGGCUCCCUGGGCAGGGGCAGCCUGCAGCAGCACCCCUCACCAGCGCCAAGGCAGAAGGGAAGAGUCAGGGAUGCCCACGACACAGCAGCGACACCAGGAGUGGGGUGCAGAGAGGAGAGAUGAGGGCGCGGCUUCGGAGGAUGAGCGGGAGCUCACAGGAGGGAGGUUUCCAGGAAACAAGCAAACAGAAAACAGACACAAAGGUGCCCCCGUGGAAUGCUGCGUAGGGUGGAGCCCUGCACUGAGGACGGUGAGGAGGAUGAGAGAAAGGGACGACCUGAAAUUCCGGAGAAUAGAGCUCCACCGAGAGAGAUGGAGACAGAGGGCCAAAGAGCAUGAGAUCAGCUGGACACUUGCCGUUGGCAUCUUGAGGGGUGCUCCAUGGCUUCUACUUGGCCAAAUUCUCUUCAGUGUUAAAAUGCUGUAAAAUAUAAAACAUGUUAUUUCUUGAC
RNAcentral lists this long non-coding RNA (477 nucleotides) under Rhinopithecus roxellana (golden snub-nosed monkey). RNAcentral describes it as "lncRNA (ENSRROG00000045995.1)". The record is from RNAcentral. Lineage: Eukaryota; Metazoa; Chordata; Mammalia; Primates; Cercopithecidae.